AGGCCGGCAGGGCAGACCCUUUAAAGGAGCACUGCCCUGGAAGACCUGGGACAGAUCAUUAACAUCAGUAUGUGGAGCCAACAGAGAAGCAUGCAAUUUGAUCUUAUGUCAGUUCUCUGAGCCUCCACCAUAAUUGAAGGCUGGGAUUAAGCUGCUGGGACAGUGGAAGCAGUGAGGUGCAUGAACUGUUUUCAACUGAGUUGGAUCCCCAAUCAUGAAAUGUAACUGAGUCCUAGGUUAGGUCCAAACCAGCUGGGACAUGACCUAAAAUCACUCACAGAGCAGACCUGCUUCAAGAUCCAGGAACGAAGGAAAUAUCUUCUGCAGAGUAGGAAACAAAUUGGAUAUCCAUCCUCCCUCCCCCCAAUUUCAGGAGCAUUUCAUUUCUGCAGAAGACUGGACAGAUUUUGAUGUUACCACAUAAUAAAUGAAUCUAUCACACAGAUCAUCAGACUGGAUAGAAAUGGAUCAGUAUUUCAAGUGAAGCUUCUCAUAUUCCAUCAAAAUAGGUGAACAGAUUAAGAAAUUUCAGUUGUGGGAAAAGAAAAACUGUUACAAUGUUUUUAAUUUAAAAACUGUAUUUUUCAAACAUGA
Herpailurus yagouaroundi (jaguarundi) is the source of this 594-nucleotide long non-coding RNA. RefSeq lists it as uncharacterized. NCBI's taxonomy places the organism in Eukaryota, Metazoa, Chordata, Mammalia, Carnivora, Felidae. The transcript has 2 exons. The record is from RefSeq and is a predicted model, not a curated record.